This is a non-coding RNA of Monodelphis domestica (gray short-tailed opossum), 2465 nucleotides long. The record is from RefSeq and is a predicted model, not a curated record. Lineage: Eukaryota; Metazoa; Chordata; Mammalia; Didelphimorphia; Didelphidae.
UAUCAAUAUGUAAAAACUGCCUUUUCCUUUCCCCCUUUCUUAGAAUCAUAUUCUUUUGGAGCUUAACUCAGGAAAUAUCUCUUAGGGGAAGCAUUUCCUGAUUUCAUUUGAGCAUGAAGACUUGAAAACACACAUUUGGGUUGUUUGGGCUUGCAAAUUCAAGAAACCUCUGCUGUUGCUGCCACACACUUUAAGAUGAGUAAAAGAGAAAGAGUUCCUGGAAUCAUGCCAAAUAAUAUUGAAGAGAGGGGCCAUUCUUGCUCCAUCCCUGAAUUCAUUAGGAAAGUUCUCCAUUUCUCUGUCACAAAUAAUGGUAGGCUUUGAUUUUAAAUAAAUACUACUGCUUGCAUUAAACAAAAAGUCUUUCAUGCUUUUGCUUUUAGGGUUUAUUUGUUUUAUUUUCUGAUGUUUUAAUCCUAAUAGGGAAGGGAGAGGAUAUAGGACUUGUAAGUGUCUUGUAGGUGAUACCAGUGGUGGCUAGGUGAUGCAGUGGAUAAAACUUGGAAUCAGAAAGACCUGAGUUCAAAUAUAACCUUUAUAUUUACUGGCUAUAUAACUCUGGGCAAGAUAUUUAACUUCUGUCUGCCUAAGAUUUUUCAUCCAUAAAAUAGGAAUUUUAAUUGCAUCUACCUUAUAGGAUUAUUAUGAAGAUUACAUGAAAUAUUUGUGAAAUGCUUGGCACAGUAUCUGAUGUAGAUAGUCCAUGCCUAAUUAAUCCUUUUAACCUUUUCCCCCUGCAAUUUCCUUUCUUAUUUUAAAAAUUCCUUACCUUUCAUCUUGGAACCAAUAGUAAGUAUUGUUUCCAAAGCAGAAGAGCAGUCAGAGCUGGGCAGUUGAGGUUAAGUGACUUGCCCAGGGUAACACAGCUAGGAAAAGUCUGAAGCCAGAUCUGAACUUAGGACCUUCCAUUUCUAGGGACUCUAGUAAACUUCUGCUUUUAGUAAUUCCGAAUAGUGGACUGAUCAUUGACUUAUAAUGGUUUAGUGGUUUUUAUUCAUCCCUGAACUUUAACCUGGACUGUCAAGUCUGAUAUUCCUGAUAGAUCCAAUUGAGGGAGAUUUUUCCAGAUUGGAUUUGUCAGCUGUUCUGUCUAACAUGGACUAGCACACAAGACUCUGCAAUCAUGGUAACAAAGCCACUGCCCAACAAGUAUUUGAUAGUUAUUCUAUCUCAGCAUUAAUGGUGAUCAUACAUGGCUUUAGCACUUGGAGGAUUGGGAUGUGGGUGUGCAAGACACAUACUCUAGAUUGGAAUACUAACUUGCUGCACAUUGGCCUCAUUGAGCUAUAUCUAUUUAGGGGAAGCCAAGAUUGAGCAUACAUGUCAAUAGGGUGGAGGUAGCUGGAAGUUUGUGUAGGACAGCCUAAAUGUCGCCAUAGUAGUGAGUCAGUGACAAGUGUAGACUUGGCUAAGGAGGCUAUGGACCAUUAGUGAGUAGAACAUUGUGGGGGAAAAGCAAUUGAUUGAGCUAAGAACAGAACAGCAUACUCUCUUUUAAUUACAUAUAAGUUUUUAUUGAUAUCUUCUGGGUUUUUUUGUCAUUAUUAUUUGCCCAAAUAUUUCUCCCCUUCCCCUUCUUCCUAGAGAGCCAUCCCAUAUAACAAAUAGUAAUUUUGAACAAAAAAAGGGGGAAAUAUUUUAGAACAACUAAUCGAUACAUUGAAAAAGUCUGAAAACAUGUGCAAUGUGCAAUACCUAUGGAUCUCCAAUCCCCAUGAAGGAGUGGGUUGAUGGUGCAUUCUUAAAUCUCUUUAUUUCAGUCAUCCUUGACCUUAUACUUUUGUUAUAUUCAUUUUUGACUUUUUGAUAUGUGGUCAUUCUUGUUGCUAUUGUGUAUAUAGUUUUCUUGGUUGUGCUUACUUCACUCAGCAGCUGCUUUUUGUAGAUUUUUUCAUGCUUCUGUGUAUCCAAUCACAUUAAUCACUUCUUAUAUUAUAGUAAUAGUCUAUCAUAUGGAACUAAUGAAAUUUAUGAGCUUCUCUUUUGUUUCCAAUUUCUUGAGAUCCCCAAAAAGUGCUUCUUCAGAUUAAUCUCUUUUUUUCAUUGAAUUCUGAGGGUCAGUUGGAAAAAGGCCAAUGGAGAACCUGUCUAAAUGAUAAGGAAAUCUUAAUGGCUUUUGAAACUAAUUUGUAGAAAUGAAAGAAAUCAUGCUUUCCUUUUAGCUUCCAUAUAUUAAUAUUUAUUAAGUUGUAAUAGUUAAGAAAAUCUUUUGAAGAAAGGCAUCAUAUAAUAUGGGCAAUGAUAUGGUAUAGUGGAUAUAAUGCUGGGCCUGCAGUCAGACUCAUCUUCCUAACUUCAAAUCUGACCUUGGAUAUUAGCUAUGUGAACUUGAACAAGUCACUUAACCCUGUUUGCUUCAGUUUCCUCACCUAUAAAAUGACCUAGAAAAGGAAAUGGCAAGCUUCUUCAGUUUAUCUGCCAAAAAACAAAACAAAACAAAACAAAAAAAAAAACAACAAAACAAA